UGUGAAGUUGGAAUUUAAUUU
Molecule: non-coding RNA, 21 nt
Organism: Caenorhabditis elegans
Lineage: Eukaryota; Metazoa; Nematoda; Chromadorea; Rhabditida; Rhabditidae
Source: Ensembl